Molecule: non-coding RNA, 589 nt
Organism: Vicugna pacos (alpaca)
Lineage: Eukaryota; Metazoa; Chordata; Mammalia; Artiodactyla; Camelidae
Source: RefSeq, a predicted model, not a curated record
CUGCCCCCUCCGGCGGGGUUCCGGAGAAAAGCGUCCCGCGAAUGUGUACACAGGCCAGGCACGGUGCUCGGCACCGGGAAAUCAGAGACUGUAAUAGGUUUUAAAAAGCCCCUGCCCUCGGGAGACUUGCGUUCUGGUGGAGAAGCCACACAAUAGAUAUGGAAGCAGAUAAAUGAGCAUUUUAGAAAAGACCAGUUCUAUGGAGACAAUACUGCGGGAUGACGGGGCGCAGUGGCCCGCAUUAGAUGGAUUUCUAACACAUCUCCAGGAUAGGUAUUUGGAGCUGAGAUCUGAACUAUGAAAAUAUGAAACCAGAGAAGAAAGGUUUGAGGUCUCAGAGGCCCAAUGAAGCAACAGGAACGAAGGGUUUACGUAUGCUGUCCCAUACGGUUGGCUGCUGAUGAGUUGCAAUGUGCCUUCAGCUGCCAUGGUUACCCUGGGGCUGCCAUGUGGAGAGACCAUGUGGAGAGACCACAGAAAGAGAGAAACCGGAGGAAGCCAGCUGUUCCCGCCCCAUCCCCAACCCCCAUCUAUUUGUGUCUUCACAGCCCAAGUUCUGCGAGCGAAUAAAUGAUUGUUACUGUUCUAA